GAUGAAUUGAGUCCAUAUCUGCAAGAGUAGUUCUAAUAAUUUACUGGUAUAAGUAUUUCAAUGACAUAUACUGCUCGUUAUCAAUGAGUUCAAAAGAAAAUAAAUCAAGUCUCACGCCUUUCAAGAUAUUUUUGCAGGAACAACUUCAUAUGGGAAAAUAACAUCUUGUAGUAUAGACGAUGGAACUAUUGUGGGUGUACAGUCUUCAACUGGAGCUCCAAUUAGUCGAUAUUUGGACAACCCCUUCCACCAUUGGAUCUCGUCUAGUGUUCCAAGUAGUUUAUCCUCUCUCGUUAGUGGAUCUAACAUGUCGUACUUUAUUCCUUCUAGUUCAUUGUUAUUCUUUUAGUUUUCUUAUGUUAGUUAAUAAAUUUUGUAGGUAGUAUGGUCCUUGGGAGACUAAGAUACAAUAACAAAUUUUGUAGUUAUUGUGACUCGAGUAUUAUGAUCUAUUUAUAUGUGAAG
This 465-nucleotide long non-coding RNA is filed under the name Panax ginseng (ginseng). RNAcentral describes it as "long non-coding RNA (PGIN_LNC000639)". The record is from RNAcentral. Lineage: Eukaryota; Viridiplantae; Streptophyta; Magnoliopsida; Apiales; Araliaceae.